UAAUACAGAGGAUGCAAGCGUUAUCCGGAAUCACUGGGCAUAAAGCGUCUGUAGGUGGUUUGGUAAGUCUGCUGUUAAAGACUGGGGCUCAACCCCAGAAAAGCAGUGGAAACUGCUAGACUUGAGUGUGGUAGAGGUAGAGGGAAUUCCUAGUGUAGCGGUGAAAUGCGUAGAUAUUAGGAAGAACACCAAUGGCGAAGGCACUCUACUGGGCCAUAACUGACACUGAGAGACGACAGCUAGGGGAGCAAAUGGGAUUAGAUACCCCAGUAGUCCUAGCCGUAAACGAUGGAUACUAGAUGUUGCACGUAUUAACCCGUGCAGUAUCGUAGCUAAGGCGUUAAGUAUCCCGCCUGGGAAGUACGCUCGCAAGAGUG
Molecule: ribosomal RNA, 377 nt
Filed under: uncultured Emiliania
Lineage: Eukaryota; Haptophyta; Isochrysidales; Noelaerhabdaceae
Description: bacterial SSU rRNA
Rfam family: Bacterial small subunit ribosomal RNA
Source: RNAcentral